RNAcentral lists this long non-coding RNA (5328 nucleotides) under Sus scrofa (pig). RNAcentral's name for it is "lncRNA (ENSSSCG00000053913.1)". Lineage: Eukaryota; Metazoa; Chordata; Mammalia; Artiodactyla; Suidae. The record is from RNAcentral.
CAUUUAAAAUAUGGUCAAAAUAUUUCUAAAUAAUGCACUUCUUUGAUAUUGCCUUUCCUCCCUCUGCACUCAGAUCUCUCAGUAUGGCUCCUUAAUAGUUCAUAGUCUAACAUUUAAAGCAUUAAGUCUCUUCAUGACCUCAUUCUCAAGCAUAUUUCCUUCUGUUUCUCCAUAUAUAACCACAAGAUAAGCUAAACUUAACCAUGAGAUUGUUAUUGGUUAGAAUAUAAAGCUGAAACUUAGAGGUUGUUACUAUAUUGGUUUCUGUUAGAUGUGUUCUAUCCCAUUAUCUUUCUGUAUCCAAAUACUAAUAAUACAUCAGGACCUAACUCAUGCUUAACUUUAUAAAUUUUUUCCGUAGCUGGAAAUAACUCUGACCCCCCCCCAAAUUCAAUAGUGUUUUUCUGUGCCUGUGUCUUGUGUAUUUUAGCUUAUUAAGUGAAUCUGUCCUAGACCAUAAGCUCCUAAGAGAAUUAUUUACAAUGAACAAUGAAUUUCUUAGAGAAAAUGCUCCAGCACCAAUAAGUGGAUAUUCCUGUGAAUAGCAGAUAUUCAACAAAAGUUUGCCUGCUUAAUUUACAAAUGAAUAAUCAUAGCUAGCUUCGUUUUGGAGGAGUGGAUACUUGCUAUUUAAUGGAAAUGUGACUUUGUUCUCCAACUUCUUAAGCCAAAACAAAACAAACAGAAAACCCCUGAAAGUUCAAAGGGGUUAAGUAACUUGUCUAAGGUCACACAUUAAAUGUUAAGACCAGACUUUCAAAAUCAUACCUCUAACACUGACCUCUUCAUGAACUCCAGUUCCAUAGACUGCCUUCUCUACAUUUCCACUUUGGUGUUUAAUAUUUUUUUGGUAUGGUAGCUCUAAUAUGUAUCUCUUAUAGUCAUUCCCUUCAUUUUGGUAUAGACUCUCAUGGACUCGCAUCAAAACUACUGAAUUUGUUUAAUAAUUGGUUUCUUUACUCCAUACUAGUUUAAAAUCAAAUUUAUUUUUAAGUUAUAGUUGAUUUAUAAUGUUGAGUCAAUUUCUGCUACAGCAUAGUGACCCAGACAUACAUUUAUACAUAUGUAUGUAUAUAUACAUAUAUACACACAUUGUUUUUCUCAUAUUAUCUUCCAUUUUAGUCUGCCGCAAGAGACUGGAUAUAGCUCCCUGUAGUAUACAGUAGGACUUAAUUGCUUAUCCAUUCUAAAUGUAAUGAUUUGCAUCCACCAACCCCAACUCCCAAUCUAUCCCACUCCCUCCCCCCACCCCCUUGGCAACCAACCUAUUUUCUAUAUCCUUGAGUCUGUUUCUGUUUUGUAGAUAGAUAUAUUUGUGCCAUAUUUUAAAUUUCACAUAUAAGCACUAUCAUAUGGUAUUUGUCUUCUCUUUCUGACUUCAUUUACUUAGUAUGAGAAUCUCUGGUUGCAUCCAUGCUGCUGCAAAUAGCAUUUGUUCUUUUUAUGGCUGAGUAGUAUUCCAUUGUGUGUAUGUAUGUACCACAUCUCCUUAAUCUCUUCAUCUGCUGGUGGACAUUUAGAUUGUUUCCAUGUCUUGGAUAUUGUGAACAAUGCUGCAAUAAACAUGGGGGUGCAUGUAUUUUUUUCAGUAAGUUUUGUCUGGAUGUAUGCCCAGGAGUGGGAUUGCUGGGUCAUAUGGCAGUUCUAUAUUUAGUAUUAUGAGUAACCUCCAUACUGUCUCCAUAGUGGCUGUACCAGUUUACAUUCCCACUGACAGUGAAGGAGCAUACCCUGUUCUUCACACCCUCUUCAGCAUUUGUUAUUUGUAGACUUGUCAAUGAUGGCUAUUCUGCCUGUUGUGAAGUAUCUCAUUGGAGUUUUGAUUUGCAUUUCUCUAAUAAUUAGUGAUGCUGAGCAUUUUUUCAUGUGCCUACUGACCAUCUGUAUGUCUUCUUUGGAGAAAUGCUUAUUUAGAUCUUCUGCCCAUUUUUUUGGAUUGGGUGGUUUGGUUUUGUUGACUUGUAUGAGUUGCUAAUAUAUUUUGGAGAUCUGGCCUUUAAAACAUCUAAAGAAGGAAGAACAGACAAAAGCCCAAAUUACUGGAAGGAAAGAAACCAUAAAGAUUAGAGCAGAAUUUAAUGGCAUAGAAACAAAAUAAAGAUAAAUGAAACCAAAAGUUGGUUGUUUGAAAAAAUCAGCAAAACUGAUAAACCUUUAGCUAGGCUCAUCAGGAAAAAAGGAAGAGCGUUAAAAUCUUUACUCUUGGGAGUUCCCAUUGUGUGCACUGGAAACAAAUAUGACUAGGAACCAUGAGGUUGCAGGUUCAAUCCCUAGCCUCACUCAGUGGGUUAAGGAUCCGGCAUUGCCAUGAGCUGUGGUAUAGGUUGCAAACAUGGCUCGGAUCUGGUGUGCUGUGGCUCUGGUGUAGGCCAGCAGCUAUAGCUCUGAUUAGAACCCUAGCCUGGGAACCCCCAUAUGCUGUAUGGGUACAGGCCAAAAAAGACAAAAAGACCAAAAAAAAAAAAAAAUCUUUACUCCACACUUUUAUUCAGUUGGUCCUACAUUGAUUUUUUUUCUAAGUCACCACUUAUAAUGCUGCCACCAUUCUGCUCCAGUAUUUUCAGUGACUCCCUACUAACUAUGAAAAUAAACCCCAUCUUCUCUGACAACCAACAAAUUCGUCUCAACAAUGUCUCCAAUGAACUUCUCCCAAUACUCCCAACAUGCAGCCUCCACCGCAAACACACUAGUCUCUUCAUUUCAUUUGAAUAUACCAUGUGUAGUUCUGCCUUUUGAGGAAUUACAUAAGGUUCUGCUUCACUGGAACACACUUCUUUUUCUGAUACACUUACCAGAGCCUAUAUAAUUUAUCUUUUAUAAGAUAAUUAAUUUAUCUUCUAAAUGGGUGCGAGUGUUCGGGUGAGGCAGGUAGGAGAAAUGAUGACUCAGGAUUGCAUCAAGUAAACCGCUAUGCACAAUUAACCUAUUCAUAGUGAUGUGCCUUUCCACAUCUACAUCAGGUCUUACCUCUCCCCAAAAAUGUUCAGACUUCCUGGCCUUAAGCAAUGACUUUCUCUUUUUAGGCCACUUUGUGUCAUAGCAAAGCACACAAAAGUCAGAAUCCUAAGAUAAAGACCUUGAAUCCCAGUCCCUCUACUUUUUUUAUUCCUUUUUAGAGCUAUAUCUGCAGCAUAUGGAGGUUCCCAAGCUAAGGGUUGAAUUGGCCUACUCCAUAGCUAUAGCAAUGCCAGUUCUGAGCUGAGUCUGUGACCUAUACCUGCAGCUUGUGGUGAUCCUUAACCCACUGAGCGAGGUCAGGGAUUGAACCCACAUCCUCAUGGAUACUAGUCGGGUUUGUUGCCACUGGGCCAUGGCGGAAACUCCAAAGCCCCUAUACUUAUUAACUGUGUGGUCAGGAGCAGGUAACUUAAACUUUUUGAAAUUCUGCCCUCCUUUGUAAAUCGGAUUAUUGUUUUCAUUUGUUUUCCUCCCUGUAGUAGGAUGAUACAUCUACCUCCUUUACCUUAUAGCUCUGCAUUGCCUUCCAUUGUGGGUGGAAUAUGGUGCACCUCUUCCCAUUGAUCUUGGCUUUGUCAUGUGACUUGAUUUGGCUGAUGGAAGGUUAAGAGACAUGACCUAGGCAGAAGCUUUACAUGUGCUCACAUGGGUUGUUUGCCUUCCUUUGUGCUCCUGUGAUCCAUCUGAGGAUAAUAUGCCUAGGGAAGCUAGAACUUCCUUAUCCUAGGCCUCAGAAUGAAGACAAAGGAAGCAGAACCAAUCCUAUCUGGAACCCUAGAGUCAAGAAUAAUCCCCUCAAAGCCAGGCAAGCCUAGAUAAAACCAGAGAACCAAAACCAAAGAUCAAAGGUCAAGAGAAAAAUGCUAAUGGUCACUAGCCACUGACAUCUGGGGGUUGUCACAUAGCCUGUUUCAGCCAAACUAACUGACAAAACCAUCUUAUACCUUCAUAAAACUCAAAAAUUGUAUGUGAAAAUGAUUUUAGAAAUGGUGCAUCACAAUUUUAAUGUUACUUAUGAUCAUUGCUCCUUAGUGUUAUGAACUAUUUUAUAUAUUAAUAUUUCUCAUUUCCAAAUUCUAAACUGUAAAAUAGAGAUAAUACUGUUAUAAAAAAUGUAUAAUUAUAGAAGAAACAAAUAUAUAAGAUAGUACACAAGAAUGAUAACUAUAUUAGAAUUAUAUAAGAAAUAUUUGCCAAAGUUACCCUGCAUAGUGCCUUCCACAUCAUGGAUACAGAAAGGUCAUGCUGCCACUUUUGCUGCUCCUCCUAAGUAUGUUUUGUUUGUAUCUGUAUUUUUGCUCUUUUAGAUCUUUUUUUUUUAUAUUUUUCACUAAGCAGUAUACGAUAUUAAAAAGGUGGAUUACCAAACCAAACACCUGGGUUUGGGACUUGCCUUGGCACCUUGGGCAAAUUGCUUAAACUCUUAAAGCUUGAGCGUUUUCACUUACAAACCAAACAGUAGCAGUAAUACAUUUCUAAAUUAAAAUGACAAUAAAUCAUUUAAAUGAAUGUCACAUUUUACAGCACCCAGUAAAUAGUAGCAUCUAUACUCCUAUCUCCUCUCCAGAAAUUUCUAAGCAGAAUUCUUCGACAAUCCUAUGUUGCCUAGACAAGUAUAAUACUCUUGAUUAUCUUCUAAACAGACACCUACCUAUACACAGCCUUAGAACUUGCAAGAUUUUCCAUAAUUAGGUAGGGGAAAGGGGACAGGAAAAAGACAUCUUAAAAGUCCUGGGUUCUCUCUGCUCUGUGGCCUCAUUGCUGAUAUUUCAAUGCCCUAAAAUAAUUCAUAUCUCUAUUUACCUAACAAUCAUCAGAUUUCUUCUUAGAGGAUUCUGCCAAAUCUAGGUUAGACAUCUCUUAUAAAAGAGCUUUCAUAAAAUCCUGGUGGAGGGCACUUAAACAAGGAAUUGAAAUUGCUUUUGACUUGUCAAUCUUCCCAACUGUACUAUAAGGUCUUUGAGGGCACAGGCCAUGCCAUUAUUUUUCACCAGCACCUAACACAGUCCUGACUCAUACUAAGCACUUAAAGACAUAAAAGAGGAGGAGAGGGAAAGAAAGACAGAAUGAGGAAGAAGCAAGCAAGAAAGAAAGGGUCAUUUUUAUUGUCUGUCUUCCCUGAAAAGAAUGUUUAGAGAAUAAGACAGUUACUAUAGCAUCAUCAAAACUCAUUUCCCAAUCUAUGUUUUGCUUCAAAUCCCAUAUCAGUGUGUUCCCUUCCUGUCAUCAGAGUAAGAGGCUGUUUAUUUUAAAAUGCCAACUCAUCAUAAAAACUGUUGGGAGCACAUGGACUAAGGGAGAUGGACUGAAAUUCCUAUUCUCCUCCUCCUGGUCCUCCUCCUACUUCCUGGUCAUUUCAGGAAAAGGCUC